AUAUUAUAGUUAGCGCCAGAAGUAGUGGGUAAAGUGCUACUUGACGAGGAUGGGGAGUAUCGAAAUUUCGGCGGAUGCCCCACGGUAUAACACUAUCGAUAAACAUUGGCAAAGCAAAGAAGUGAUUCUUUGUACAAAUUCAAUGGAGUGUGAAUC
This 156-nucleotide non-coding RNA is filed under the name Clostridium grantii. Its description in RNAcentral is "GlcN6P sequence". It matches the Rfam family "glmS glucosamine-6-phosphate activated ribozyme aptamer". From Rfam's summary of the family: This entry contains a glucosamine-6-phosphate activated ribozyme that is found in the mRNA for GlmS. GlmS is an enzyme that uses fructose-6-phosphate and glutamine to generate glucosamine-6-phosphate. Lineage: Bacteria; Bacillati; Bacillota; Clostridia; Eubacteriales; Clostridiaceae. The record is from RNAcentral. RNAcentral also lists the same sequence under 1 other name.